Molecule: ribosomal RNA, 433 nt
Filed under: uncultured bacterium
Lineage: Bacteria
Description: partial 16S ribosomal RNA
Rfam family: Bacterial small subunit ribosomal RNA
Source: RNAcentral
AACGAACGCUGGCGGCAUGCCUAACACAUGCAAGUCGAACGAGACCUUCGGGUCUAUUGGCGCACGGGUGCGUAACGCGUGGGAACCUGCCCUUAGGUUCGGAAUAACUCCCCGAAAGGGGUACUAAUACCGGAUAAUGUCUACGGACCAAAGAUUUAUCGCCUUUGGAUGGGCCCGCGUUGGAUUAGCUAGUUGUUAGGGUAAAAGCCUACCAAGGCGACGAUCCAUAGCUGGUCUGAGAGGAUGAUCAGCCACACUGGGACUGAGACACGGCCCAGACUACUACGGGAGGCAGCAGUGGGGAAUAUUGGACAAUGGGCGAAAGCCUGAUCCAGCAAUGCCGCGUGAGUGAUGAAGGCCUUAGGGUUGUAAAGCUCUUUUACCCGGGAUGAUAAUGACAGUACCGGGAGAAUAAGCUCCGGCUAACUCCGUG